ACACAUGCAAGUCGAGGGGCAGCGGGAUUGAAGCUUGCUUCAAUUGCCGGCGACCGGCGCACGGGUGAGUAACGCGUAUCCAACCUUCCGUACACUCAGGGAUAGCCUUUCGAAAGAAGGAUUAAUACCUGAUGGUAUGAUGAGAUUGCAUGAUAGCAUCAUUAAAGAUUUAUCGGUGUACGAUGGGGAUGCGUUCCAUUAGGUAGUAGGCGGGGUAACGGCCCACCUAGCCAACGAUGGAUAGGGGUUCUGAGAGGAAGGUCCCCCACAUUGGAACUGAGACACGGUCCAAACUCCUACGGGAGGCAGCAGUGAGGAAUAUUGGUCAAUGGACGAGAGUCUGAACCAGCCAAGUAGCGUGAAGGAUGAAGGUCUUACGGAUUGUAAACUUCUUUUAUAAGGGAAUAAAACCUCCCACGUGUGGGAGCUUGUAUGUACCUUAUGAAUAAGCAUCGGCUAACUCCGUGCCAGCAGCCGCGGUAAUACGGAGGAUGCGAGCGUUAUCCGGAUUUAUUGGGUUUAAAGGGAGCGCAGACGGGUCGUUAAGUCAGCUGUGAAAGUUUGGGGCUCGACCUUAAAAUUGCAGUUGAUACUGGCGUCCUUGAGUGCGGUUGAGGUGUGCGGAAUUCGUGGUGUAGCGGUGAAAUGCUUAGAUAUCACGAAGAACUCCGAUUGCGAAGGCAGCACACUAAGCCGUAACUGACGUUCAUGCUCGAAAGUGUGGGUAUCAAACAGGAUUAGAUACCCUGGUAGUCCACACGGUAAACGAUGGAUACUCGCUGUUGGCGAUAUACGGUCAGCGGCUUAGCGAA
RNAcentral lists this ribosomal RNA (812 nucleotides) under uncultured bacterium. RNAcentral's name for it is "bacterial SSU rRNA". It matches the Rfam family "Bacterial small subunit ribosomal RNA", at positions 51 to 855 of the family's 1533-position model. The record is from RNAcentral.